GGAGGAGGUGGAGGCGGCUCUUCUCGGCGAGGAGGAGAUCGGACCACUUCUAUGACCGGAGGCCCAGAAGGUUGAGACGAGCCUUCCUGUAUUUCCCCGGGCUCAUGACCAGGUGUUUGAAGCAGUUCGGAACGCUUCAUCUCCCGUACUUUCCGGGAGAUCUCUCUCUUCUGCUUCCGGCUCUCCUUAGAGGUUUUGCCGCUUGCCAUACCUGCACAAAGGAAAAGUCAGUGAGUUCGCUAAGACCUAGAGAUCAGAGAUAUAGAAAGUACCGAGGCUGAGGUCAGAGAGCUAAGCCCGCUUUCUUUGUCGGUAAUCAGUUGCAUUGUCCAAUGAUGCAGGCAUCUAAAUAAGAGAACUUCUGUGUGGCUGCCUGAUCUUUCAGCUCCAUUACCAUUAUGCCCUCUUCCCUAUUUAAGGUGAUGCACUUCGGAAGUGAGGGGCCCAGAUGCAGCCAGGUACGUGGGAAACCCUCAAAACCUUUCGGAAUCUUGCUCCUCAGAAUAAAGAAGCGAUUCUUCCAAUUCUUCAGGGAGGAGGGCAGAUCGGUAAAAAGCCCGCAAUGUGGUUUCGCCUGGAAGAACCAAUACUCGUCGUCCUUUCGACGAGUUAAUCUAUG
This 619-nucleotide unclassified non-coding RNA is filed under the name Hevea brasiliensis (rubber tree). The record is from RNAcentral. Lineage: Eukaryota; Viridiplantae; Streptophyta; Magnoliopsida; Malpighiales; Euphorbiaceae.